This 2929-nucleotide ribosomal RNA is filed under the name Bacillus velezensis. RNAcentral's name for it is "23S ribosomal RNA". It matches the Rfam family "Bacterial large subunit ribosomal RNA". Lineage: Bacteria; Bacillati; Bacillota; Bacilli; Caryophanales; Bacillaceae. The record is from RNAcentral.
GGUUAAGUUAGAAAGGGCGCACGGUGGAUGCCUUGGCACUAGGAGCCGAUGAAGGACGGGACGAACACCGAUAUGCUUCGGGGAGCUGUAAGCAAGCUUUGAUCCGGAGAUUUCCGAAUGGGGAAACCCACCACUCGUAAUGGAGUGGUAUCCAUAUCUGAAUACAUAGGAUAUGAGAAGGCAGACCCGGGGAACUGAAACAUCUAAGUACCCGGAGGAAGAGAAAGCAAAUGCGAUUCCCUGAGUAGCGGCGAGCGAAACGGGACCAGCCCAAACCAAGAGGCUUGCCUCUUGGGGUUGUAGGACACUCUGUACGGAGUUACAAAGGAACGAGGUAGAUGAAGAGGUCUGGAAAGGCCCGCCAUAGGAGGUAACAGCCCUGUAGUCAAAACUUCGUUCUCUCCUGAGUGGAUCCUGAGUACGGCGGAACACGUGAAAUUCCGUCGGAAUCCGGGAGGACCAUCUCCCAAGGCUAAAUACUCCCUAGUGACCGAUAGUGAACCAGUACCGUGAGGGAAAGGUGAAAAGCACCCCGGAAGGGGAGUGAAAGAGAUCCUGAAACCGUGUGCCUACAAGUAGUCAGAGCCCGUUAACGGGUGAUGGCGUGCCUUUUGUAGAAUGAACCGGCGAGUUACGAUCCCGUGCAAGGUUAAGCAGAAGAUGCGGAGCCGCAGCGAAAGCGAGUCUGAAUAGGGCGAAUUGAGUACGUGGUCGUAGACCCGAAACCAGGUGAUCUACCCAUGUCCAGGGUGAAGUUCAGGUAACACUGAAUGGAGGCCCGAACCCACGCACGUUGAAAAGUGCGGGGAUGAGGUGUGGGUAGGGGUGAAAUGCCAAUCGAACCUGGAGAUAGCUGGUUCUCUCCGAAAUAGCUUUAGGGCUAGCCUCAAGGUAAGAGUCUCGGAGGUAGAGCACUGAUUGGACUAGGGGCCCCUACCGGGUUACCGAAUUCAGUCAAACUCCGAAUGCCGAUGACUUAUCCUUGGGAGUCAGACUGCGAGUGAUAAGAUCCGUAGUCGAAAGGGAAACAGCCCAGACCGCCAGCUAAGGUCCCAAAGUAUACGUUAAGUGGAAAAGGAUGUGGAGUUGCUUAGACAACCAGGAUGUUGGCUUAGAAGCAGCCACCAUUUAAAGAGUGCGUAAUAGCUCACUGGUCGAGUGACUCUGCGCCGAAAAUGUACCGGGGCUAAACGUAUCACCGAAGCUGCGGACUGUUCUUCGAACAGUGGUAGGAGAGCGUUCUAAGGGCUGUGAAGCAAGACCGGAAGGACUUGUGGAGCGCUUAGAAGUGAGAAUGCCGGUAUGAGUAGCGAAAGAGGGGUGAGAAUCCCCUCCACCGAAUGCCUAAGGUUUCCUGAGGAAGGCUCGUCCGCUCAGGGUUAGUCGGGACCUAAGCCGAGGCCGAAAGGCGUAGGCGAUGGAUAACAGGUUGAUAUUCCUGUACCACCUCCUCACCAUUUGAGCAAUGGGGGGACGCAGGAGGAUAGGGUAAGCGCGGUAUUGGAUAUCCGCGUCCAAGCAGUUAGGCUGGGAAAUAGGCAAAUCCGUUUCCCGUGAAGGCUGAGCUGUGAUGGCGAGCGAAUUAUAGUAGCGAAGUUCCUGAUUCCACACUGCCAAGAAAAGCCUCUAGCGAGGUGAGAGGUGCCCGUACCGCAAACCGACACAGGUAGGCGAGGAGAGAAUCCUAAGGUGAUCGAGAGAACUCUCGUUAAGGAACUCGGCAAAAUGACCCCGUAACUUCGGGAGAAGGGGUGCUCUGUUAGGGUGCAAGCCCGAGAGAGCCGCAGUGAAUAGGCCCAGGCGACUGUUUAGCAAAAACACAGGUCUCUGCGAAGCCGUAAGGCGAAGUAUAGGGGCUGACGCCUGCCCGGUGCUGGAAGGUUAAGAGGAGCGCUUAGCGUAAGCGAAGGUGCGAAUUGAAGCCCCAGUAAACGGCGGCCGUAACUAUAACGGUCCUAAGGUAGCGAAAUUCCUUGUCGGGUAAGUUCCGACCCGCACGAAAGGCGCAACGAUCUGGGCACUGUCUCAACGAGAGACUCGGUGAAAUUAUAGUACCUGUGAAGAUGCAGGUUACCCGCGACAGGACGGAAAGACCCCGUGGAGCUUUACUGCAGCCUGAUAUUGAAUGUUGGUACAGCUUGUACAGGAUAGGUAGGAGCCUUGGAAACCGGAGCGCCAGCUUCGGUGGAGGCAUCGGUGGGAUACUACCCUGGCUGUAUUGACCUUCUAACCCGCCGCCCUUAUCGGGCGGGGAGACAGUGUCAGGUGGGCAGUUUGACUGGGGCGGUCGCCUCCUAAAAGGUAACGGAGGCGCCCAAAGGUUCCCUCAGAAUGGUUGGAAAUCAUUCGCAGAGUGUAAAGGCACAAGGGAGCUUGACUGCGAGACCUACAAGUCGAGCAGGGACGAAAGUCGGGCUUAGUGAUCCGGUGGUUCCGCAUGGAAGGGCCAUCGCUCAACGGAUAAAAGCUACCCCGGGAUAACAGGCUUAUCUCCCCCAAGAGUCCACAUCGACGGGGAGGUUUGGCACCUCGAUGUCGGCUCAUCGCAUCCUGGGGCUGUAGUCGGUCCCAAGGGUUGGGCUGUUCGCCCAUUAAAGCGGUACGCGAGCUGGGUUCAGAACGUCGUGAGACAGUUCGGUCCCUAUCCGUCGCGGGCGCAGGAAAUUUGAGAGGAGCUGUCCUUAGUACGAGAGGACCGGGAUGGACGCACCGCUGGUGUACCAGUUGUUCUGCCAAGGGCAUCGCUGGGUAGCUAUGUGCGGACGGGAUAAGUGCUGAAAGCAUCUAAGCAUGAAGCCCCCCUCAAGAUGAGAUUUCCCAUUCCGCAAGGAAGUAAGAUCCCUGAAAGAUGAUCAGGUUGAUAGGUCUGAGGUGGAAGUGUGGCGACACAUGGAGCUGACAGAUACUAAUCGAUCGAGGACUUAACCAA